CUCGAUCAGCCGAUCACCAAUGAAUGUUAACUUAAAAUUUCGUAUUUCGUAAAAAUGCUUCCGUCAAAAUUGUUUUCCUUCUUUCCUAAUCAAUAUAAGAAAAAAAAAUUGAGGAAGAUUUUUGAAAUUUUGAUAUCGAAUAAUUUACGUGAUCGAGCCGUAUUCGUUGACUACAUUUAAGUACGUCAGUUAUGCUUAUAGAAGAUGCAAUUUUUAACACCUUCAAAGAACGUAAUACAUUCCCGGACAAAAUUAUAGCAUAUGUGUGUUAUCUUCUGAGAGGGCAACAAAAUAGGCUACUAUACGUGUUGCCUCAAACUCGAUGUUAACAUCUGGCAAAAUUGCUCACGUACCAGGUAUCUCUGCAAACGUUCAGAGUGUUCGCUGUGUUCUUCAGAAGUUGUAGCUAUGCUGCCGUUCAUCAAACUAAAGUUGUAGAAACAUUCUCUAC
This is a long non-coding RNA of Bombus impatiens (common eastern bumble bee), 451 nucleotides long. RefSeq lists it as uncharacterized. The record is from RefSeq and is a predicted model, not a curated record. NCBI's taxonomy places the organism in Eukaryota, Metazoa, Arthropoda, Insecta, Hymenoptera, Apidae. The transcript has 2 exons.